GAUGAAGAACGUAGCGAAAUGCGAUAAGUAAUGCGAAUUGCAGAAUUCAGUGAGUCAUCGAAUCUUUGAACGCACAUUGCGCCCUGUGGUAUUCCGCAGGGCAUGCCUGUUCGAGCGUCAUUUCAACCCUCAAGCCCCGCUUGGUGUUGGGCCCCGCCCGCCGUGGCCGGCCCUAAAGACAGUGGCGGCGCCGCCUGGCCCUCAGCGUAGUACAGCUCUCGCUCCAGGGUCCGGCGGCCGCCUGCCAGAACCCCCCCAACUCUGUGGUUGACCUCGAAUCAGGUAGGGAUACCCGCUGAACUUAAGCAUAUCAAUAAGCGGAGGA
This 325-nucleotide unclassified non-coding RNA is filed under the name soil metagenome. RNAcentral's name for it is "partial contains 5.8S ribosomal RNA, internal transcribed spacer 2, and large subunit ribosomal RNA". The stretch from base 1 to 120 matches the Rfam family "5.8S ribosomal RNA", at positions 35 to 154 of the family's 154-position model. The record is from RNAcentral.